GCUGCUACCAUGCAGUCGACGGUGACACGGAGCUUGCUCUGUGGGAUCAGUGGCGAACGGGUGAGUAACACGUGAGCAACCUGCCCCUGACUCUGGGAUAAGCGCUGGAAACGGCGUCUAAUACUGGAUACGAGUAGCGACCGCAUGGUCAGUUACUGGAAAGAUUUAUUGGUUGGGGAUGGGCUCGCGGCCUAUCAGCUUGUUGGUGAGGUAAUGGCUCACCAAGGCGUCGACGGGUAGCCGGCCUGAGAGGGUGACCGGCCACACUGGGACUGAGACACGGCCCAGACUCCUACGGGAGGCAGCAGUGGGGAAUAUUGCACAAUGGGCGCAAGCCUGAUGCAGCAACGCCGCGUGAGGGAUGACGGCCUUCGGGUUGUAAACCUCUUUUAGCAGGGAAGAAGCGAAAGUGACGGUACCUGCAGAAAAAGCGCCGGCUAACUACGUGCCAGCAGCCGCGGUAAUACGUAGGGCGCAAGCGUUAUCCGGAAUUAUUGGGCGUAAAGAGCUCGUAGGCGGUUUGUCGCGUCUGCUGUGAAAUCCGGAGGCUCAACCUCCGGCCUGCAGUGGGUACGGGCAGACUAGAGUGCGGUAGGGGAGAUUGGAAUUCCUGGUGUAGCGGUGGAAUGCGCAGAUAUCAGGAGGAACACCGAUGGCGAAGGCAGAUCUCUGGGCCGUAACUGACGCUGAGGAGCGAAAGGGUGGGGAGCAAACAGGCUUAGAUACCCUGGUAGUCCACCCCGUAAACGUUGGGAACUAGUUGUGGGGUCCAUUCCACGGAUUCCGUGACGCAGCUAACGCAUUAAGUUCCCCGCCUGGGGAGUACGGCCGCAAGGCUAAAACUCAAAGGAAUUGACGGGGACCCGCACAAGCGGCGGAGCAUGCGGAUUAAUUCGAUGCAACGCGAAGAACCUUACCAAGGCUUGACAUAUACGAGAACGGGCCAGAAAUGGUCAACUCUUGGACACUCGUAAACAGGUGUGCAUGGUUGUCGUCAGCUCGUGUCGUGAGAUGUUGGGUUAAGUCCCGCAACGAGCGGCAACCCUCGUUCUAUGUUGCCAGCACGUAAUGUGGACUCCUUGGCUACUGCCGGUCACUCCGAGGAAGUGGGAUGACGUCUAAUCAUCAUGCCCCUUAUGCUCUUGGCUUCCACGGCAUGCUAACAUG
Molecule: ribosomal RNA, 1167 nt
Filed under: Actinomycetota bacterium
Lineage: Bacteria; Bacillati; Actinomycetota
Description: bacterial SSU rRNA
Rfam family: Bacterial small subunit ribosomal RNA
Source: RNAcentral